RNAcentral lists this ribosomal RNA (301 nucleotides) under uncultured bacterium. RNAcentral describes it as "partial 16S ribosomal RNA". It matches the Rfam family "Bacterial small subunit ribosomal RNA", at positions 509 to 807 of the family's 1533-position model. The record is from RNAcentral.
CAGCAGCCGCGGUAAUACGUAGGUGGCAAGCGUUGUCCGGAAUUAUUGGGCGUAAAGGGCUCGCAGGCGGUUUCUUAAGUCUGAUGUGAAAGCCACCGGCUCAACCGGGGAGGGUCAUUGGAAACUGGGAAACUUGAGUGCAGAAGAGGAGAGUGGAAUUCCACGUGUAGCGGUGAAAUGCGUAGAGAUGUGGAGGAACACCAGUGGCGAAGGCGACUCUCUGGUCUGUAACUGACGCUGAGGAGCGAAAGCGUGGGGAGCGAACAGGAUUAGAUACCCCGGUAGUCCCUGUCUCUUAUAC